Molecule: ribosomal RNA, 211 nt
Filed under: uncultured Acidobacteriota bacterium
Lineage: Bacteria; Pseudomonadati; Acidobacteriota
Description: uncultured Acidobacteria bacterium partial 16S ribosomal RNA
Rfam family: Bacterial small subunit ribosomal RNA
Source: RNAcentral
GGAUAACGGGGAGGAAGGUGGGGAUGACGUCAAGUCCUCAUGGCCUUUAUGUCCAGGGCUACACACGUGCUACAAUGGUCGGUACAAACCGUCGCAAACCCGCGAGGGGGAGCUAAUCGGAAAAAGCCGACCUCAGUUCGGAUUGCCGUCUGCGUCUGAACUCCAUGAAGCUGGAAUCGCUAGUAAUCGCAGAUCAGCACGCUGCGGUGAA